UCCAUUAGUAAUUUCUUAUAAAAAGAAAUGAAUUGCAUUGAAAAUGAUAUAAAAUUAUGAAUAUCAUUUGAUUACAGAAAGUCUAGAGUAAAAUAGUUUUUCUUGUUGGUUUGACAUUCUCAGAAUUUAUUCCUGGUUCUCCAAAAAGCAGAGAAUGCCAAGACUGAAUACCUGCUGUAAUCUAUCUGGUCCUCAUUCUGCUUAAUAUGCUUAUAGGGUUCAAUCUGUUCCUACUUUAUCCACCAUUUCCAGUUUGUACCUGUAAGUCUACCUUGGAAGAAGCAAGUAAACUGAUUUUUUUUCUUCAUCGUUUUUAUACUAAUCCCAAAAGAUAGGCCUUUUGCAGUCAGUGUGUUUAUAUUGGGUUGUGUUACUUGUUUACUUAAGGAACAUACAUUUUGAUAACAUUUCACUCCAAUAAAUUAACAUUUUUUUGAGUGCCAAGAAUUGCUAAGUAACUGUAACACUGAAAAGUCACUCCCAAGUAAACAUACAUUCUAAAAUAGUAAAUUUGUUAUACAACCAGACUGUACAAGUAACACUUUUCUUUUACUCAUGUAGACCCUUUCAGAAAUUUAUUAGAAUAUGGUCAUGGUCACCUUAGUGGACUUUUUUCCCUCAUUUUGGUCAUGUGAGUUCGGUAUUUUAAAUUUUUCAUAUUUAUACCAAUUUGCUUUGGGAAAGGCUAUAAACCCAAUUCUGGCACAUUGUAGAGGUUUCAGUUAAUGAAGAGGUUACUUUUACCUUAAUGACUUUAAAAUAUCCUAUAUAUAUAUUAUAGGAGAGGGCAUAAAAAAUCAUUAGAUGGGUAGAAAUUUAUUAAAAUCUUUAGAUAUUAUGAAUUAAAAAUUUUUUUUACAGGAAUUCAUUUGUGUUUUUUGCCAAACCAGAUGAGCAGGAAAAUAUGCCUAGGACUGAAUAACCUCCCUUGUUCUUUUUGCCACUGGAUUAUAGCCACUUUAUCCAUGUUUCAAACAUCCAUCCUCCCAGCCUGUGUCCAAGAAGAAGGUAUGUCCUCUUUUUACAGCAACUUGUCUGCCUGUACCCUCGAUCUGGUGUGCUGUGACGACUCGGGAUAGCCUAACGAAUCUCAGCUAGCGAAUCAGAAAGUGGGGGGGGGGAGCGGGACUGUCACGUGACAAAGUCGCUGGGCCCUCCAAGACUUCCGAGCGCUUUUCCCAGAAUGUCUCAUCUCUAUGGUUGAUGACGUUCAAAGUCCUGU
Fukomys damarensis (Damara mole-rat) is the source of this 1222-nucleotide long non-coding RNA. RefSeq lists it as uncharacterized. The record is from RefSeq and is a predicted model, not a curated record. Lineage: Eukaryota; Metazoa; Chordata; Mammalia; Rodentia; Bathyergidae. The transcript has 3 exons.